Molecule: non-coding RNA, 201 nt
Organism: Arachis ipaensis
Lineage: Eukaryota; Viridiplantae; Streptophyta; Magnoliopsida; Fabales; Fabaceae
Source: RefSeq, a predicted model, not a curated record
UUUUUUUUUUCCCAUUGGCAGGCACAAGGCCUACCGGCUGUAACUGUAACUGUAGGGCCUUGACAAAAGAACAUUGGACAAAACUAUUUCAAACUUGGAUACGGAGUUAGCUUCUGCAAAGGCAGCUCAGGAGUCAAUUCGCAAUAGCGCUUCUCUAUCAGAAGAUAUAAAAGCAACUUAAUCAACUCCUAAGAGAAGGUA